This 468-nucleotide ribosomal RNA is filed under the name uncultured bacterium. RNAcentral's name for it is "partial 16S ribosomal RNA". It matches the Rfam family "Bacterial small subunit ribosomal RNA", at positions 28 to 507 of the family's 1533-position model. The record is from RNAcentral.
GACGAACGCUGGCGGCGUGCUUAACACAUGCAAGUCGAACGGAAAGGCCCUGCUUUUGUGGGGUGCUCGAGUGGCGAACGGGUGAGUAACACGUGAGUAACCUGCCCUUGACUUUGGGAUAACUUCAGGAAACUGGGGCUAAUACCGGAUAGGAGCUCCUGCUGCAUGGUGGGGGUUGGAAAGUUUCGGCGGUUGGGGAUGGACUCGCGGCUUAUCAGCUUGUUGGUGGGGUAGUGGCUUACCAAGGCUUUGACGGGUAGCCGGCCUGAGAGGGUGACCGGCCACAUUGGGACUGAGAUACGGCCCAGACUCCUACGGGAGGCAGCGGUGGGGAAGAGUGCACAAUGGGCGGAAGCCUGAUGCAGCAACGCCGCGUGCGGGAUGACGGCCUUCGGGUUGUAAACCGCUUUCGCCUGUGAUGAAGCGUGAGUGACGGUAAUGGGUAAAGAAGCACCGGCUAACUACGUG